Long non-coding RNA from Brassica oleracea var. oleracea, 236 nucleotides. RefSeq lists it as uncharacterized. NCBI's taxonomy places the organism in Eukaryota, Viridiplantae, Streptophyta, Magnoliopsida, Brassicales, Brassicaceae. The record is from RefSeq and is a predicted model, not a curated record. The transcript has 2 exons.
UCAUAUAUACCACUUCUCUUCAUUGCUAAGGUGAGACCGAUGAGCAGGAGUGAUUAUACCGGACCGGUGCUUUUGGGCUUUUACUACUAUUGGGCUUUUGGGCUUCUAUCGUUUUAUCGCUUUUAUCGUUAUCGGGCCUCUAGGCCUUUGGGCUUUUAUCGUUUAUGUUAUUUCGUAUUUCGGACUCUCGGUUUAUGUCGUACUUUAUGUUUCAGAUUUUAUUUUAUAUUAUGGAA